Linepithema humile (Argentine ant) is the source of this 777-nucleotide long non-coding RNA. RefSeq lists it as uncharacterized. The record is from RefSeq and is a predicted model, not a curated record. Lineage: Eukaryota; Metazoa; Arthropoda; Insecta; Hymenoptera; Formicidae.
GUAAAACACGACACAAAUACACAAGGAAAAGCCAGUGUGCCUAGAUCAUCAAUAAGUACACAACGUUAAAGUAAAAGUAACAUUAUUCGCCAUUGCUAUUACAACAGUAAGAAUGUCUACAUUAAACGACUGGGCGUUGAAAUAUUUUAUGUCUGAACAUUUUCAAGCAAAAUGUACAAUCUGUGCAUACACUCUUACAUAUCGCGAUGUGCAACCCGUCCGUGAUCAUUUCAACCAACAACAUUCAAAUAUAAAACAAAAGUAUGUUAUUUGGACAGAGCAUUUUAAAAGUAAUAGCUAUUCAUACUGGAAAUGCAUUUAUUGUUCGCAAACUUAUUGGAAGAUAACAUUGAUCAACAAAUUAAAUGGACAUUUGCACUCUGUGCAUAAUAUAUGUCCAUUAAUAAAACUCCCAUAUUAUAUGGGCUCUAUAGAGAAGCAUAUGAAACGGCGUGAUGAUAAUAGCGCGCAGUGUAUAAUAUGUGAUCAGAUUAUAGAGUUUAGCCUUUCCUGUACUAAAAAAAAACACAUGUUCAAAUAUCAUAUAAACAUAUGGAUAAACGAAGAAGAGAAUGCAAAUAAACAAUCAGAAAUCAAUAUGUCUGGACUAUCGAUAAGUGCACGAUAACUUUAAAGGCAAAAACAAUGAACAAAUUUUGAUAACGUUUCUACAUUCAAAAAGAUACUACGGUUCUACGGUUCUACAUACGAUCACAGCGAAAACAGCAAUCUCGACUUUGAUGAAUUAAAUGAUUUAAAAUAUCUGAGGAAAACUGC